This is an RNA transcript of Fragaria vesca subsp. vesca, 1325 nucleotides long. RefSeq lists it as uncharacterized. The record is from RefSeq and is a predicted model, not a curated record. The transcript has 2 exons. NCBI's taxonomy places the organism in Eukaryota, Viridiplantae, Streptophyta, Magnoliopsida, Rosales, Rosaceae.
GAAGAGGAAGGCUUCUGAGGCUUAUUUAUCUUAAGACCCUUUAUCAAGACAGAGAGAAGAGGGACGAGGGGCAUCUGAUUGGGAGGUCCAACAAUUGUAGACUGGUCUUGGCGUGCAGGGUGACCACCGAGUGUGGGGUUUACGGCUGAGUACCGAUGAUAUCGCUGUAUGUGGGAGUUCUGUUGCGUACGGAGAUUUACGGCUGAGAGCCGGGGAUUACCAAUGUGUGCAGUGAAUUAUUGAUGUGAGCAGUGGAUUUCCACAUGUGCAGGUAUUGUCAUUACGGUUUUGUGCAAGUGUUAUUUUUUUUUUGUAACGUGUUCUUGAUGAAAUCUAGAAAUUAAACCCAAAAAGGACACCUAACCAGGAAAAAGAAGAAUGGAAAGAAAUGAAACUAAAAUUUGUGACAAUGGUCUAUUUGAUUGGUAAGACCAUGAAUAUGGUCAGUUCUCAGUGGAACUAUGGAUGCUAAGACUAGGUACGGUAUUCGUCCAAAAAAAAGACUAGGUACGGUCUAGCUGUCUUACAGAUACAUGGUUUUCAAUUUAGUUUGCUCAAGUCACUGAGCAGUUGCUGGAAAGUUACUAAGGUUUGGUUUUUGGUCAAGUCAUUGAGCAGUUGCUGGAAAGUUACUCAGGUUUGAUAGACAUAUACGGUGAUGAAUCAAUAAGUGAAAACAAAGAUUUUGAUGCUUAACGAGUUUCUGAGGAAUAGAGUGAACUAAUGGAUAUUUUAAAUUGAUCAAAUUGUAAAUCGGUUUACUGUUUGAAAGGGCUUAUGGUUGAUGAAUAUUGCAAAAGGAUAAUCUAUACCUUCAGUGUUAACUUGAUGAUCCACAUUGUGCUUUUAUUAUCAGGAUUCUCCAAGUUUUCUAAUUAAAUCUGACCAUUCAUGUCAGAAAGCGGUAAGAAUAAAAGGAACCAGAGUAUGAAUGGCAUUCUUACAUUUUGGUGCAAUGUGGUGAUUUUAGUCACAAAGGAUUGACUAAUUAGGCAAAUGAGCAAAUACUUAAAUCUGGAUUACACUGACAAUACCAGAGCAAACUUCGAAAGUAUAUGUUAUAGAUUGUGUUAGGUCUCAUAUGUCUGAGACUUGAUUACUACUAUCAUGCAUCACCACAUACUCUAAUCUUGUUUACCCAAAACAUCUUUAGACCCACCAAGAUUUAUGCUUUACACUUUGGUGUAUUAUUUUCAUUGCUCUUCUUGAGCAAUAUAGUCUUACUGCACUUGCUAAUUUUUUUUAAAUUUCGAGGACAAAUUUUUUUUUAAGGAAGUGGGUUUGUAAUACCUGAUUAGUCCAAAAAAAAUUAAUAAAAAUAAAAA